UACGGGGGGAGCAAGCGUUGUUCGGAUUUACUGGGCGUAAAGGGCGCGUAGGCGGCCACUGCAAGUCGGUUGUGAAAUCUCCGGGCUUAACCCGGAAAGGUCAAUCGAUACUGCAGGGCUAGAGUGCAGAAGGGGCAACUGGAAUUCUCGGUGUAGCGGUGAAAUGCGUAGAUAUCGGGAGGAACACCUGCGGCGAAGGCGGGUUGCUGGGCUGACACUGACGCUGAAGCGCGAAAGCUAGGGGAGCGAACGGG
This 254-nucleotide ribosomal RNA is filed under the name uncultured bacterium. Its description in RNAcentral is "partial 16S ribosomal RNA". It matches the Rfam family "Bacterial small subunit ribosomal RNA", at positions 524 to 776 of the family's 1533-position model. The record is from RNAcentral.